CCUACGGGUGACAGCAGUGGGGGAUAUUGCACAAUGGGGGGAACCCUGAUGCAGCGACGCCGCGUGGGUGAAGGAGCGUUUCGGCGCGUAAAGCCCUAUCGGCAGGGAAGAAGAUGACGGUACCUGGCCAAGAAGCCCCGGCUAACUACGUGCCAGCAGCCGCGGGAAUACGUAGGGGGCAAGGGUUAUCCGGGUUUACUGGGUGUAAAGGGGUCGCAGACGGCAAUGCAAGCCAGGGGUGAAAGCGCGGGGCCCAAACCCGGGACUGCUCUUGGAACUGCAUGGCUGGAGUACAGGAGGGGCAGGCGGAAUUCCUAGUGUAGCGGUGAAAUGCGUAGAUAUUAGGAGGAACACCAGUGGCGAAGGCGGCCUGCUGGACUGUGACUGACGUUGAGGCCCGAAGGCGUGGGGAGCAAACAGGAUUAGAUACCCCAGUAGUC
This 440-nucleotide ribosomal RNA is filed under the name uncultured bacterium. RNAcentral describes it as "partial 16S ribosomal RNA". It matches the Rfam family "Bacterial small subunit ribosomal RNA", at positions 338 to 795 of the family's 1533-position model. The record is from RNAcentral.